GUCUAAUAUGGCAGAUAAGUGCAAUGGACUUAAGCCCCAUAUAUAAAGAUAUUUAUUCUUUUAUUAGA
RNAcentral lists this transfer RNA (68 nucleotides) under Comicus campestris. Its description in RNAcentral is "tRNA-Leu". Lineage: Eukaryota; Metazoa; Arthropoda; Insecta; Orthoptera; Schizodactylidae. The record is from RNAcentral.